GGGUUUAACUCCUGCUUAUUACCUUUAUGCUCAAAUUACUUUGAGCGCGUUUGGUGUCUGAUUCUCAAGGAACCGGGAGCACCAUCUACGUAGGCUUAACUAUUAAGGCAUGCCACCUACGGUCUUGGACGGCCCCCGCUAAGCAGGGACCCCAAAUUGUUAAAUCACUUAUCGGACAAAGA
This 182-nucleotide small RNA is filed under the name Thiopseudomonas alkaliphila. Its description in RNAcentral is "Oblitimonas alkaliphila Pseudomonas sRNA P27". It matches the Rfam family "Pseudomonas sRNA P27". Lineage: Bacteria; Pseudomonadati; Pseudomonadota; Gammaproteobacteria; Pseudomonadales; Pseudomonadaceae. The record is from Rfam by way of RNAcentral.